GCCCCGGCCGGGCCGGGCCGGUCCCGACGCGGAGGGCUGCGAGUCCCCGCCCGGCGCGCUCACGUCAGCUCCGCGUCCCGCUUCUUCGCCUCUUCCGCCUUCCCCCUAGCUCUCCGCCACGCCGCCGUAUCCCUCCGCACUCUGCGUCCGGCACAAUCAGCUUUAAUUGGUGGGAUCUGAAUUCUCCCUGCUCUCAAACGUGACCCACGUAAGAACGAGAAGAAAGAAAGAAAGAAAGGAAAAAAGUAUCUCACUGGGAAACUGAAAACUGUACAAAUUGGAAUGGCAAUGUUGCUGAGAACAAGGAAAGCCAGGAGUAUGGGGGAAGAAGUUGCUGAGCUACUGCACGGAGUAAGUGCAGCUUUGCUGGGUGGUGCAGCUGCUGCUUUUCCUUAUUUCAUAACUAUUUUGUCCUUGAAAACAAACAAAUAAAAAAAAACGGAGUCCCAAAAGCAAA
Long non-coding RNA from Numida meleagris (helmeted guineafowl), 457 nucleotides. RefSeq lists it as uncharacterized. NCBI's taxonomy places the organism in Eukaryota, Metazoa, Chordata, Aves, Galliformes, Numididae. The record is from RefSeq and is a predicted model, not a curated record. The transcript is spliced from 2 exons.